AUGCGUAUGAGGCCGACAUUUCGAAUUUAUUUGCGCCAAUAUGAUUACCACAACAAGUUAACAGUUGCUCGAAGCAGUGCAAAUUAUAGAAGGAGUUGUGACAAUUUGGAAAUGCUGCACUUAAAAGUGUCUUUUUUGUAGAUGUCUUUACCAAUAAACCCAUGUCUGAAAAAUACAUGACGGGUAAAAAGAAUAAACAUGCCUUUGGUGGUUCAAGCUUUUUUGAAAUAAUAAGAGAUGCUAUAGCUACAAGUCACAAAUGGCAACAUGGACAACAAUAUGGAACUAGUGUGCAAUAUACCUAAAAUACGCCCAGAAAUUUCGGGAAUGUGUCUAGCAAAAGGAUAAACAUUUUAAAUAAAAUUAAGUAUUCA
Long non-coding RNA from Mytilus californianus (California mussel), 374 nucleotides. RefSeq lists it as uncharacterized. The record is from RefSeq and is a predicted model, not a curated record. Lineage: Eukaryota; Metazoa; Mollusca; Bivalvia; Mytilida; Mytilidae. The transcript is spliced from 3 exons.